CCCGGAGACGGGGUUUCCUUCCCUUGUGGGGCGUGGUUCACAGGUGGUGCAUGGUUGUCGUCAGCUCGUGUCGUGAGAUGUUGGGUUAAGUCCCGCAACGAGCGCAACCCUUGUCUCGUGUUGCCAGCACGUUGUGGUGGGGACGUCGCGGGAGACUGCCGGGGUCAACUCGGAGGAAGGUGGGGACGACGUCAAAUCAUCAUGCCCCUUAUGUCUUGGGCUUCACGCAUGCUACAAUGGCCGGUACAAUGGGUUGCGAUACUGUGAGGUGGAGCUAAUCCCAAAAAAGCCGGUCUCAGUUCGGAUUGGGGUCUGCAACUCGACCCCAUGAAGUCGGAGUCGCUAGUAAUCGCAGAUCAGCAACGCUGCGGUGAAUACGUUCCCGGGCCUUGUACACUCCGCCGUCGACGCGGCCG
This 416-nucleotide ribosomal RNA is filed under the name uncultured Micrococcus sp. Its description in RNAcentral is "bacterial SSU rRNA". It matches the Rfam family "Bacterial small subunit ribosomal RNA", at positions 999 to 1407 of the family's 1533-position model. The record is from RNAcentral. Lineage: Bacteria; Bacillati; Actinomycetota; Actinomycetes; Micrococcales; Micrococcaceae.